GCGACAGUGGCUCAGCUGGUAGAGUACAACCUUGCCAAGGUUGGGGUCGCGGGUUCGAACCCCGUCUGUCGCU
This 73-nucleotide transfer RNA is filed under the name [Ruminococcus] lactaris. RNAcentral's name for it is "Ruminococcus lactaris tRNA-Gly". It matches the Rfam family "tRNA". From Rfam's summary of the family: Transfer RNA (tRNA) molecules are approximately 80 nucleotides in length. Their secondary structure includes four short double-helical elements and three loops (D, anti-codon, and T loops). Lineage: Bacteria; Bacillati; Bacillota; Clostridia; Lachnospirales; Lachnospiraceae. The record is from RNAcentral. RNAcentral also lists the same sequence under 2 other names.